Molecule: long non-coding RNA, 200 nt
Filed under: Elaeis guineensis (African oil palm)
Lineage: Eukaryota; Viridiplantae; Streptophyta; Magnoliopsida; Arecales; Arecaceae
Description: long non-coding RNA (EGUI_LNC015251)
Source: RNAcentral
UACCACACAACUGCCCUUCUCCCACUCUAUUCUCCAAGAAUCGAUCUCGCAUCAGUUCAAGAUGCCAUUGGUAGAGCCGUACAAUGGCUCUACCAAUCCACUGGAUCACCUAAAGGGCUACGAGGCUCUCAUGAUGCUUCAGGAUGCCUUAGAUGCUAUGCUCUGCCUUGCCUUCCUAGCAACAUUGAAGAAAGUGGUGA